RNAcentral lists this long non-coding RNA (2116 nucleotides) under Anas platyrhynchos platyrhynchos (common mallard). RNAcentral describes it as "lncRNA (ENSAPLG00000021369.1)". The record is from RNAcentral. Lineage: Eukaryota; Metazoa; Chordata; Aves; Anseriformes; Anatidae.
AGAAUGGUUCCCAAAGGGGUAGUCCUUGAACAUAGACGGUGCCUGAUCUAUAUACAUGACUGACAGGGAAAGCGAAGUAGUUAGCUGCUGAUGAAACUAAAUUUGGAGCAGCAGAGGCUGUGGAACAAAUAAUAAGGGAGACUUAAAAGGAUUCCAAACUGAAGUGUUAGCACAGGUGUAUAAAAUGAGCUUUAAUGCAGACAGAUGUAUACCACGAUAGAGCAAACAGGCAAAGUGCUCAAAAGAGAAAAAGUUUAUUUAAACUGUAAAAGAAUAAAACUCCAGGGCUGUAAUUUCUACAGCCCACAUAGGAGAAUGCAAAGAGCAAGCAGAAAACACAUCUUUACUUAUAUUGUUACCCACAAACUUGCCAAUUCACCUUGUCAGCUAGAAUGAAAAAUCCAAGAUGAAGAUUUUGUUAGAAACUUGAGAGACUUCCAGAGGUGAAGCCAAAAUACCCUCUAAUGUACAUCCAGCUGUGCAUGAUGUGGUACUGUCCUUGAACUUCAGAGAGAACGAGUCUUUGGAGGCAAAAUACACACAUUUAAGUAGAAAGGCUAUAUAGCUGUUUUAUAAUGCAGUCUUUAUAUUUGACAAAAUCUGUUGAUAUUUCUUGGUAUUCCAGACUGCCCAGAGCAAAGACAUCCCUACAAAACAACAACAGGCAGUAUUUGGGAUAUUUCGCUUUUCUCUUCCUAUUGAUCUUUGAUGUAACUGUGUUAUUCACCUGAAUGAACAACAUAAAUUCAGAACUCUUGUGGAUUCAGAACUAUCUAUAUCCUGAUAUACUUUCUUUGCAUCUUGAAAAUGUUUCAAAAAUUGGCAUUGUCAAUCUGUUUUUUUCCAUUUAAAAAGAAAUAGUUUAUUCUCUCUUUCCUUUUUUUUUUUUUUUUUUUAAAGCUAAUCAUGUAUUUUAAAAAUGUUUUGGGGAGACCUUCAGUUCAUAGAAUAAGCUCUACAGUUUAUUAUAGAGCAAAGAUGCACUAAUGCGUGCUUUGGGGUUUUAUGGAUUUCAGUUCAGUCUCAGGGAAUCCUGAAAGUGGAAGAGUUCUUGCAACUCUUCAGGUGGUUAUGGGAUAUAUUAGGAAAACCUACAUGAUGGUUAGGUACGUGCUUCUAGUAUUGUGACAUCUAGAGUCUUUACAUGUAGAAAAAAGUAACUUUCUUUAAUGCAAGCUGUAGAUUUUUUUCAUACUUUUUGCUAUUAUCAUUCAGUAUUGCAACAAAGUAACAUCUUUCUAUUUGUGCAGAUCUAAGAGUUUGAGCUUGCUGCCUUUGUAGACCUAAAGCUUGCACCCACCACAGAGCUCUGUCUAGCCAAAAAGGGCAGCAUCAAGUCCUGAGGAAAUCCAUGCUAAGUCUGAGGCCCCUUUGCAAUGGCUAAAAGUAGCUCCUCCAGGAAUACUUUGCCUGAUCCCUUCACUCAUUCUCUACACGGAACAAACACGUUGGAAAAAGAGAACAGCAACCAGCAUCAGGAGUUGUCCUCCUCUUAGUGAAACUAAGCAAUUGUCCUUGCUACGCAAGCUUGUUUAAAUUAAUAUACCUGAAUUAUCUUCAAGCUCAUUUAUCUCAAGUGAGCCAUGCUUCAGAGCUUUACGCUGGUUUCACAGAACAAUUGUAUUAGUCAUUCAUGAAGAACUUUCAUUUGAACUGAUGUAAACAAUGAACUGCACUAUCACCCACUUCUCUAGUUGUAGUUUUGCCCAUGGUUGAUUUUUGGAUCUAUGUCCAUUGCCAGCCCAGCUAACUCAGCUGUAAAGCACUAGUUUACUAAACAUAGAGAUUUUAAUGGAGAGAAGGAAGCCUGGGGUAGGCAGAAUGUGGUACUUCUGAAGUGAACAAAAUGGUCGUGACAAGCUUUGAGACUAGGCCCUGAGGUCAGUGCACUAGACCAGGGCACCAGAAACCUCAAUCUAUUUUUCUUUCUUUAUCAUUUAGGAGAGUCCUUUAGCUUUGUCAGCCCUUUGUUUCUACACUUUCUUCAUCACUUGGUUUGUCUCUAUUAGGACAAGAAUUAUGUCAUCUUGUAUUAGGAAGCCUCAACUUUACUGAGACCUCAAGGCAUUGCUGCACCAGGAAUAAAUAACAAACAAACAGAGGAGAGAGAAUUAUG